UGCAGUCGAACGAUGAAGCCUAGCUUGCUGGGUGGAUUAGUGGCGAACGGGUGAGUAACACGUGAGUAACCUGCCCUUGACUCUGGGAUAAGCACUGGAAACGGUGUCUAAUACCGGAUAUUUCAGCUGGCCGCAUGGUCUGGUUGUGGAAAGAAUUUUGGUCAAGGAUGGACUCGCGGCCUAUCAGGUUGUUGGUGAGGUAAUGGCUCACCAAGCCUACGACGGGUAGCCGGCCUGAGAGGGUGACCGGCCACACUGGGACUGAGACACGGCCCAGACUCCUACGGGAGGCAGCAGUGGGGAAUAUUGCACAAUGGGCGAAAGCCUGAUGCAGCAACGCCGCGUGAGGGACGACGGCCUUCGGGUUGUAAACCUCUUUUAGUAGGGAAGAAGCGAAAGUGACGGUACCUGCAGAAAAAGCACCGGCUAACUACGUGCCAGCAGCCGCGGUAAUACGUAGGGUGCAAGCGUUGUCCGGAAUUAUUGGGCGUAAAGAGCUCGUAGGCGGUUUGUCGCGUCUGCUGUGAAAACUGGAGGCUCAACCUCCAGCCUGCAGUGGGUACGGGCAGACUAGAGUGCGGUAGGGGAGAUUGGAAUUCCUGGUGUAGCGGUGGAAUGCGCAGAUAUCAGGAGGAACACCGAUGGCGAAGGCAGAUCUCUGGGCCGUAACUGACGCUGAGGAGCGAAAGCAUGGGGAGCGAACAGGAUUAGAUACCCUGGUAGUCCAUGCCGUAAACGUUGGGAACUAGAUGUGGGGGCCAUUCCACGGUCUCCGUGUCGCAGCUAACGCAUUAAGUUCCCCGCCUGGGGAGUACGGCCGCAAGGCUAAAACUCAAAGGAAUUGACGGGGGCCCGCACAAGCGGCGGAGCAUGCGGAUUAAUUCGAUGCAACGCGAAGAACCUUACCAAGGCUUGACAUAUACGAGAACGGGCCAGAAAUGGUCAACUCUUUGGACACUCGUAAACAGGUGGUGCAUGGUUGUCGUCAGCUCGU
This 994-nucleotide ribosomal RNA is filed under the name Agreia sp. 765G80. RNAcentral describes it as "bacterial SSU rRNA". It matches the Rfam family "Bacterial small subunit ribosomal RNA", at positions 56 to 1063 of the family's 1533-position model. The record is from RNAcentral. Lineage: Bacteria; Bacillati; Actinomycetota; Actinomycetes; Micrococcales; Microbacteriaceae.